Molecule: ribosomal RNA, 212 nt
Filed under: uncultured prokaryote
Description: partial 16S ribosomal RNA
Rfam family: Bacterial small subunit ribosomal RNA
Source: RNAcentral
UACGGAGGGUGCAAGCGUUAAUCGGAAUUACUGGGCGUAAAGCGUGCGCAGGCGGUUCUAUAAGACAGAUGUGAAAUCCCCGGGCUCAACCUGGGAAUGGCAGUGGAUACUGGACGGCUAGAGUGCGGUAGAGGGUAGUGGAAUUCCCGGUGUAGCAGUGAAAUGCGUAGAGAUCGGGAGGAACACCAGCGGCGAAGGCGGCUACCUGGACC